CCAAUAGCGUAUAUUAAAGUUGUUGCAGUUAAAAAGCUCGUAGUUGAAUUUCGGGGUUAGUAGGUUGGUCAUGCCUCUGGUAUGUACUGGUCUCACUGAUUCCUCCUUCCUGAUGAACCUUAAUGCCAUUUAUUUGGUGUUUUGGGGAAUUUGGACUGUUACUUUGAAAAAAUUAGAGUGUUUAAAGCAAGCUAACGCCU
Molecule: ribosomal RNA, 200 nt
Filed under: uncultured Glomus
Lineage: Eukaryota; Fungi; Glomeromycota; Glomeromycetes; Glomerales; Glomeraceae
Description: partial small subunit ribosomal RNA
Rfam family: Eukaryotic small subunit ribosomal RNA
Source: RNAcentral